CUACGGGGUGCUCCAGUGAGGAAUUUUGCGCAAUGGGGGAAACCCUGACGCAGCAACGCCGCGUGAGUGAAGAAGGCCUUUGGGUCGUAAAGCUCUGUCAACUGGGAAGAAGUUAGAAUCUAUUAAUAGUAGAUUUUAUUGACGGUACCAGUGGAGGAAGCGCCGGCUAACUCCGUGCCAGCAGCCGCGGUAACACGGGGGGCGCAAGCGUUAUUCGGAAUUAUUGGGCGUAAAGGGCGCGCAGGCGGUCUUGUCAGUCAGGUGUGAAAGCCCGGGGCUCAACCCUGGAAGUGCACUUGGAACAGCAAGACUUGAGUACGGGAGAGGAGAGAGGAAUUCCUGGUGUAGAGGUGAAAUUCGUAGAUAUCAGGAGGAACACCGAUGGCGAAGGCAUCUCUCCGGACCGAUACUGACGCUGAGGCGCGAAGGCGUGGGUAGCGAACGGGAUUAGAUACCCCUGUAGUC
This 465-nucleotide ribosomal RNA is filed under the name uncultured bacterium. Its description in RNAcentral is "partial 16S ribosomal RNA". It matches the Rfam family "Bacterial small subunit ribosomal RNA", at positions 339 to 795 of the family's 1533-position model. The record is from RNAcentral.